Molecule: long non-coding RNA, 512 nt
Organism: Larimichthys crocea (large yellow croaker)
Lineage: Eukaryota; Metazoa; Chordata; Actinopteri; Sciaenidae
Exons: 3
Source: RefSeq, a predicted model, not a curated record
UAAUAAUAAUUGUCUCCUUACCUCAUGAUCAUGGGUUUCAUGCUGCACCUUGUCACUUUAGCUGCUGCAGGUUAGCUGACUACAGCAUCAUAUCAGACAAACACCAGCAGCCACAGGACGAUAUUUACAAGUGCAGUGUGUCUAGUUUCUACAACUAAAGACUUAAAAACAGAGAAUCACCUGUUUACAACGUGAGUGAGUUACACUGGGAAUUAGCCGACGAGCUAACUUGAACUCUCCUUCCUGAUACAAUAAAACCACAACAAAUCUGCUACGGCGGCUCGGGAGGGACAAAACUCAUAAAUCCAGCUCGGGGGCUAUUUCAGCCGCACCGUCAGUGACUAGCUAAAGCUAAUUGCCCGGCUAGCUACUGCACACAGGUCACCUGGACUUUGAUCACAAUGGGGGUGAAAGACCGCCCUCAGUGUUACUUUGAUGUGGAGCUCAACAGGGAGCCAGUUGGGCGCAUUGUCUUUCAACUUUUUUCGGAUAUUUGUCAACGACGAGCAAAA